This 72-nucleotide transfer RNA is filed under the name Bos taurus (domestic cattle). It matches the Rfam family "tRNA". Rfam says of the family: Transfer RNA (tRNA) molecules are approximately 80 nucleotides in length. The record is from Rfam by way of RNAcentral. Lineage: Eukaryota; Metazoa; Chordata; Mammalia; Artiodactyla; Bovidae. RNAcentral also lists the same sequence under 2 other names.
UCCCUUGUAGCUCAGUUGGUAAAGAAUCUGCCUGCAAUGCAGGAGACCCAGGUUCGAUUCCUGGUUCGAGAA